UACGUAGGCAGCGAGCGUUGUUCGGAGUUACUGGGCGUAAAGGGUGUGUAGGCGGUUGUUUAAGUUUGGUGUGAAAUCUCCCGGCUCAACUGGGAGGGUGCGCCGAAUACUGAAUGACUUCGAGUGCGGGAGAGGAAAGUGGAAUUCCUGGUGUAGCGGUGAAAUGCGUAGAUAUCAGGAGGAACACCGGUGGUGUAGACGGCUUUCUGGACCGUAACUGACGCUGAGACACGAAAGCGUGGGGAGCAAACAGG
RNAcentral lists this ribosomal RNA (254 nucleotides) under uncultured bacterium. RNAcentral describes it as "partial 16S ribosomal RNA". It matches the Rfam family "Bacterial small subunit ribosomal RNA", at positions 524 to 776 of the family's 1533-position model. The record is from RNAcentral.